Spodoptera frugiperda (fall armyworm) is the source of this 1298-nucleotide RNA transcript. It is a transcript of the gene named trypsin II-P29-like, with no coding region annotated. Lineage: Eukaryota; Metazoa; Arthropoda; Insecta; Lepidoptera; Noctuidae. The transcript has 8 exons. The record is from RefSeq and is a predicted model, not a curated record.
GACACUUCGUGUCAAUCACAUUGGCGGGUACUAAUUUCUGGACUUGACUGAUGCCUUCAAUGCAAUGUCGCGACAUGUAUCGGAAUAUGUGAAUAAUAUUUUUUAGAAUUGUUAUUAGGAAUGCAUAAGAUGUUUUUGUCCCGUGCACACUAUCGACAGAUAACAAAAAUCAAAUAAAUGAAACAGAUUGUUAUCUCUAUUUUAAUUUAUGCGUUGCUGCUGUUUGAAAAGUCCGUGAUUGCCAAGUUCAAUCGAAAGAAGAAUGAGUUAGAUUUUCAAGAAGUAAUAAAAGAGAAUAGUGAAUAUCCACCAAUGGUAGACAAAUGUCCCCUUAGAAUAGUAGGUGGACAAACAGCAGAUAUAAAUGAAGUACCGUAUCAGAUUGCCAUACAAACAUAUGUAAUCCCAAGUGCUUAUUGGAAAUUAGUUGGUGGUGGAGCAAUAGUUACGCAGCAGCAUGUUGUAUCAGCCGCCCAUUGUUUUCCUAGGCGGAAUUGGAAUAAAAUAACCUACAGAAUCCUAGCAGGCACCAGCAGAUUUGGUGUACCAAUAAAAAAGAACAAAGUACAGAAAUAUUCUACGGUUAGUAGAAAAAUUUUGUACUGCUUUCGACAUAAAUAUUACAACUCGGAUGAUUUGGAACAUGAUUUUGCUGUGUUAACGGGUCGAGCGAAGAAAUGAUCAGUACCUACUAAUGUCAUCAGAAUUAGAUACACAAGUACUUUCACAACAGAUUGUGAUAACUUAUCUUCCUACCAUGUGGAGGGGUAAAAAGGAAAGAUACUUAAGUUGGACUCCCCUUUAUACUUCACGGAUAAUAUUCAGCCUAUUCCAAUGCUACGGCCCGGUUACGGAAUCCAACUCCAAGUAAAUAGUUUGUGCUUGGUUUCGGGAUAUGGAGCUGUUACAACAGUAAAUUACAACAUAUCGGCUGAUCUCCGAAUAGUGUGUGUUCCGAUAGUGAGCACAAACGAAUGCAAAAAGUACUUCGGCAAAUUCUUACAAACCUAUCAAUUAUGUGCGGGAAGGCAAGGGAAGGACAGUUGUUGGGGUGAUUCUGGAGGACCAAUUACAUACAAAGGAUAUUUAGUUGGUGUAGUGUCUUUCGGAGGACCUCAAUGUGGAUGGUCGCCAGGUGUCUACACAAGAAUUUCGAGUUAUACAAGCGGAGAAUAUGUGCCCUUCGUCGCGAACCAUUGCAUUGCUUUAGCUCUACACAACUUACUUUACAUUCGUAUGUUUAUCAUGUUUUUUUUGUGUACAAUUUAUUUGAUUUGAAAUAUGAUGUAACGUUUUGA